GACGAACGCUGGCGGCGCGCCUAACACAUGCAAGUCGAGCGAGAACCAGGGCUUCGGCCCUGGGGACAGCGGCGAACGGGUGAGUAACACGUGGAUAACCUGCCCUCGGCACCGGAAUAGCCCGGGGAAACCCGGAUUAAUGCCGGAUGGCCCCACAUCCCUGCGGGGAACGUGGGAAAAGGUAGCUUCGGCCUCUGGCCGAGGAUGGGUCCGCGGUGGAUUAGCUUGUUGGUGGGGUAAUGGCCCACCAAGGCGACGAUCCAUAGCUGGUCUGAGAGGACGAUCAGCCACACUGGGACUGAGACACGGCCCAGACUCCUACGGGAGGCAGCAGUAGGGAAUCUUCCACAAUGGGCGCAAGCCUGAUGGAGCAACGCCGCGUGAAUGAAGAAGGUCUUCGGAUCGUAAAGUUCUGUUAUUAGAGAAGAACACGUGUAAGAGUAACUGAUUAUGCGUUGACGGUAUCUAAUCAGCAAGUCACGGCUAACUACGUGCCAGCCGCCGCCGUAAC
RNAcentral lists this ribosomal RNA (511 nucleotides) under uncultured bacterium. RNAcentral describes it as "bacterial SSU rRNA". It matches the Rfam family "Bacterial small subunit ribosomal RNA", at positions 28 to 524 of the family's 1533-position model. The record is from RNAcentral.